ACCAGAGAUGACACUUGAUAAGCUUAUGGAGUAUGGAAACAUGCUUGUGAUGGAACAAGAGAACGUCAAGAGAGUCCAACUUGCUGACCAAUACCUUAACGAGGCUGCGUUGGGAGACGCAAACGCGGACGCUAUCGGCCGCGGAACUUUCUACGGUUAGAGCUCGAGGUUUGAAACUUCUUAAUUUGUUUAUUGAAUCAGUUGGAUAUAAAUGAAACUGUAAAAAAGUAGGAAGGUGAGAGGGAGAGAGGGAAAGAGAGAGACUGGAAUUAGGGUUUCUGAAAUUUUGAAGUGUAACUUGCCUUGCAGGAAAAGCAGCACAGCAAGUGAACCUUCCUGUGCCAGAAGGGUGUACUGAUCCUGCGGCUAAGAACUUUGAUCCAACGGCUAGAAGUGAUGAUGGAACUUGUGUCUACACCUUUUGAGCUUUCUCCUAAUUAUUAUUAAUUUGUACUCUCUUUUUUGCCUUUUG
Molecule: long non-coding RNA, 472 nt
Filed under: Brassica rapa (field mustard)
Lineage: Eukaryota; Viridiplantae; Streptophyta; Magnoliopsida; Brassicales; Brassicaceae
Description: long non-coding RNA (BRAP_LNC003251)
Source: RNAcentral